Molecule: long non-coding RNA, 461 nt
Organism: Eptesicus fuscus (big brown bat)
Lineage: Eukaryota; Metazoa; Chordata; Mammalia; Chiroptera; Vespertilionidae
Exons: 3
Source: RefSeq, a predicted model, not a curated record
GUGCUAAUAAGGCAGGAGCGAGAAAAGAUUGUGCCCGCUACCCGUGUAAGUCAGGCCACCGUCCGUAGCAGGAGCUCUUAAGGUACCAUGCGUUAGACCGGUGGAGUCAGACCAGACCUGUGUUCAGCAACCUCGAAGGCACCUUCUAACCUGGCUGGCAGCUGCACCUAGGAGCUCACCUGGAACUGUAGCCCAUUCUCAUCAGGGAGCUAGCUGCCUAUUAUCAUGGAAAGAUUAACAACUUUGCUGCAGAAACCAGAAUUGCCAGCCAUUUGAAGACCCUAGCCCUUGCAUAUCAUUAAGCCCUUUGAAGAUCCCUAGUCCUCUGCGUACCUGUUAACUGCCCAUUUGGCAUACCCUUUGGCUACUUCCCCAUGUAAUCUUUUGUCCUUUUACCCAAUAUAAGUAGCUGACUUAUGGUGGGGUGCAGAGCAGAUUUUUGUGGAUGCUGCUCUCCCGUA